Molecule: transfer RNA, 91 nt
Filed under: Virgisporangium aliadipatigenens
Lineage: Bacteria; Bacillati; Actinomycetota; Actinomycetes; Micromonosporales; Micromonosporaceae
Description: tRNA-Ala
Source: RNAcentral
GGCCGAGAUGGUCGGUGCCGCGCAGCCCCGCGCCGGGGCCGGGCGCCUCGCCGGUGUCCAGGAAGUCGGCGUUCCAGUCGUCGUCCGGCCC